Molecule: ribosomal RNA, 253 nt
Filed under: uncultured bacterium
Lineage: Bacteria
Description: partial 16S ribosomal RNA
Rfam family: Bacterial small subunit ribosomal RNA
Source: RNAcentral
UACAGAGGGUGCGAGCGUUAAUCGGAAUUACUGGGCGUAAAGCGUGUGUAGGCGGCUCUAUAAGUCAGGUGUGAAAGCCCCGGAUUCAAUUCGGGAAGUGCACUUGAUACUGUGGAGCUUGAGUAUAAGAGAGGAUAGUAGAAUUCCUGGUGUAGUGGUGAAAUACGUAGAUAUCAGGAGGAAUACCGGUGGCGAAGGCGGCUAUCUGGCUUCAUACUGACGCUGAGACACGAAAGCGUGGGGAUCAAACAGG